RNAcentral lists this ribosomal RNA (457 nucleotides) under uncultured bacterium. RNAcentral's name for it is "bacterial SSU rRNA". It matches the Rfam family "Bacterial small subunit ribosomal RNA", at positions 340 to 786 of the family's 1533-position model. The record is from RNAcentral.
UACGGAAGGCAGCAGGGGGAAUAUUGCACAAUGGGCGAAAGCCUGAUGCAGCUAUGCCGCGUGUAUGAAGAAGGCCUUAGGGUUGUAAAGUACUUUCAUCGGGGAGGAAAAAACAAAACUAAUAAUUUUAUUUCUUGACGUUACCCGAAAAAGAAGCACCGGCUAACUCCGUGCCAGCAGCCGCGGUAAUACGGAGGGUGCUAGCGUUAAUCAGAAUUACUGGGCGUAAAGAGCACGUAGGUGGUUUUUUUAAAGUCAGAUGUGAAAUCCCUGGGCUUUAACCUAGGAACUGCAUUUUGAAACUGAAAUACUAGAGUAUCGUAGAGGGAGGUAGAAUUCUAGGUGUAGCGGUGAAAUGCGUAGAUAUCUGGAGGAAUACCUGUGGCGAAAGCGGCCUCCUAAACGAAUACUGACACUGAGGUGCGAAAGCGUGGGGAGCAAACAGGGAUUAGAUACC